UGCAGUCGAGCGAAGAGAUGGGAGCUUGCUCCCUGAUCUUAGCGGCGGACGGGUGAGUAACACGUGGGCAACCUGCCCUGCAGACUGGGAUAACUCCGGGAAACCGGAGCUAAUACCGGGUAAUACAUCGCACCGCAUGGUGCAAUGUUGAAAGUUGGCUUUCUGAGCUAACACUGCAGGAUGGGCCCGCGGCGCAUUAGCUAGUUGGUAAGGUAAUGGCUUACCAAGGCGACGAUGCGUAGCCGACCUGAGAGGGUGAUCGGCCACACUGGGACUGAGACACGGCCCAGACUCCUACGGGAGGCAGCAGUAGGGAAUCUUCCGCAAUGGACGAAAGUCUGACGGAGCAACGCCGCGUGAGUGACGAAGGCCUUCGGGUCGUAAAGCUCUGUUGUUAGGGAAGAACAAGUACCGUUCGAAUAGGGCGGUACCUUGACGGUACCUAACCAGAAAGCCACGGCUAACUACGUGCCAGCAGCCGCGGUAAUACGUAGGUGGCAAGCGUUGUCCGGAAUUAUUGGGCGUAAAGCGCGCGCAGGCGGUCUUUUAAGUCUGAUGUGAAAGCCCACGGCUCAACCGUGGAGGGUCAUUGGAAACUGGAGGACUUGAGUGCAGAAGAGGAGAGUGGAAUUCCACGUGUAGCGGUGAAAUGCGUAGAUAUGUGGAGGAACACCAGUGGCGAAGGCGGCUCUCUGGUCUGUAACUGACGCUGAGGCG
This 717-nucleotide ribosomal RNA is filed under the name Guptibacillus hwajinpoensis. Its description in RNAcentral is "bacterial SSU rRNA". It matches the Rfam family "Bacterial small subunit ribosomal RNA", at positions 56 to 753 of the family's 1533-position model. The record is from RNAcentral. Lineage: Bacteria; Bacillati; Bacillota; Bacilli; Caryophanales; Guptibacillaceae.